AAAAAACUUACUAACUAUAUUGGAUUUAACAUUUGUACUAUAGAUAAAAUCUAAGUACAGUCGCUCUGCUCGAAGCGAUACAGCGGUUAAACAACUGGUGUUACGAAUUGUAGCGGGUGUGUGGCAACCCCAAAUAGUCACGGUGGUACUCUGUGCGGGUACUUUACUUAGUGUAUAAUUUAGAAAGUAAGCUAAACACUAUUACUGCUGGGCGGAGUAGGCAGGAACAAGCAUAAAGCUUGUGGUAAAGUAAGU
This 255-nucleotide non-coding RNA is filed under the name unclassified sequences. RNAcentral describes it as "ARRPOF RNA". It matches the Rfam family "ARRPOF RNA". The record is from Rfam by way of RNAcentral.